This 306-nucleotide unclassified non-coding RNA is filed under the name plant metagenome. RNAcentral's name for it is "partial contains 5.8S ribosomal RNA, internal transcribed spacer 2, and large subunit ribosomal RNA". The stretch from base 1 to 105 matches the Rfam family "5.8S ribosomal RNA", at positions 50 to 154 of the family's 154-position model. The record is from RNAcentral.
GAAAUGCGAUAAGUAAUGUGAAUUGCAGAAUUCAGUGAAUCAUCGAAUCUUUGAACGCACAUUGCGCCCGCCAGUAUUCUGGCGGGCAUGCCUGUCCGAGCGUCAUUUCAACCAUCAAGCCCCCGGGCUUGUGUUGGGGACCUGCGGCUGCCCGCAGGCCCUGAAAACCAGUGGCGGGCUCGCUGUCACACCGAGCGUAGUAGCAAUCACCUCGCUCAGGGCGUGCUGCGGGUUACGGCCGUUAAACAGCCUUACAAAACCCAAGGUUGACCUCGGAUCAGGUAGGAAGACCCGCUGAACUUAAGC